This 455-nucleotide ribosomal RNA is filed under the name uncultured bacterium. Its description in RNAcentral is "bacterial SSU rRNA". It matches the Rfam family "Bacterial small subunit ribosomal RNA", at positions 340 to 786 of the family's 1533-position model. The record is from RNAcentral.
UACGGGAGGCAGCAGUGGGGAAUAUUGCACAAUGGGCGCAAGCCUGAUGCAGCCAUGCCGCGUGUAUGAAGAAGGCCUUCGGGUUGUAAAGUACUUUCAGUCGUGAGGAAGGUGUUAAGGUUAAUAACCUUAGCAAUUGACGUUAGCGACAGAAGAAGCACCGGCUAACUCCGUGCCAGCAGCCGCGGUAAUACGGAGGGUGCGAGCGUUAAUCGGAAUUACUGGGCGUAAAGGGCACGCAGGCGGUUAAUUAAGUUGGAUGUGAAAUCCCCGGGCUUAACCUGGGAAUGGCAUUCAAGACUGGUUAGCUAGAGUCUUGUAGAGGGGGUAGAAUUCCAUGUGUAGCGGUGAAAUGCGUGGAGAUGUGGAGGAAUACCGGUGGCGAAGGCGGCCCCUGGGACAAAGGACUGACGCUCAUGUGCGAAAGCGUGGGGAGCAAACAGGGAUUAGAUACC